This 492-nucleotide ribosomal RNA is filed under the name uncultured bacterium. RNAcentral describes it as "partial 16S ribosomal RNA". It matches the Rfam family "Bacterial small subunit ribosomal RNA", at positions 29 to 507 of the family's 1533-position model. The record is from RNAcentral.
AGUGAACGCUGGCGGUAGGCCUAACACAUGCAAGUCGAACGGCAGCACAGUAAGAGCUUGCUCUUACGGGUGGCGAGUGGCGGACGGGUGAGGAAUACAUCGGAAUCUACUUUUUCGUGGGGGAUAACGUAGGGAAACUUACGCUAAUACCGCAUACGACCUACGGGUGAAAGCAGGGGAUCUUCGGACCUUGCGCGAUUGAAUGAGCCGAUGUCGGAUUAGCUAGUUGGCGGGGUAAAGGCCCACCAAGGCGACGAUCCGUAGCUGGUCUGAGAGGAUGAUCAGCCACAUUGGAGCUGAGACACGGUCCAGACUCCUGCGGGAGGCAGCAGUGGGGAAUAUUGGACAAUGGGCGCAAGCCUGAUCCAGCCAUACCGCGUGGGUGAAGAAGGCCUUCGGGUUGUAAAGCCCUUUUGUUGGGAAAGAAAAGCAGCAGGUUAAUACCCCGCUGUUCUGACGGUACCCAAAGAAUAAGCACCGGCUAACUUCGUG